Balaenoptera ricei (Rice's whale) is the source of this 1868-nucleotide long non-coding RNA. RefSeq lists it as uncharacterized. NCBI's taxonomy places the organism in Eukaryota, Metazoa, Chordata, Mammalia, Artiodactyla, Balaenopteridae. The transcript has 2 exons. The record is from RefSeq and is a predicted model, not a curated record.
AGGGCGCCUGCUGCAGGGAAAGGGGCGGUGCUGCGGCUCUUCCGCGGGAGGGGCUCCCGCGGGAUCUCGCGGAUUCGGACUUCGCCCACCCCUACAAACGGUGCGGAGGCGGUAGGGUGCAGGGAUUCGUACUGGGUGUGGUACUCCCGGCCUGGCUCUCUGGCUGAGGUAGUCCUUUCCAGUUAAUGGAUCUUCCGCGCGGGACGGUAGACCUGGCGCCCCUGCAGACGGGCUGCGGACCGCGCCAUGGCGACCCUGCUCCGGGCGGGGUCUCUAGGCGGCCCUGCUUCGAGUGGGAACCUGGGCGCGGGUCCCCACCUGUGCCCAUUCUUUCGUGUGUACGCAUGUUCCAACGUUGUCGCCGGCCGGGGACGCCGGCAAACGCAUUACUACUCGUUAUCACUGCCGCCCGAUGGAAAUCCUCACUGCACAUCGUCUGCUUUUGGAAAGUCUGGAAUCUUUAACUGCCUGCUUGUCAGCUCUCACUUUAACACCCCCAGGCCGGUUUUUAACCCCCUAAUGGAAAAGCCCCUACCCGGGGUCGAGUGUGUUGGGAGAGUAAGGGUCCUGCGACGGCCCCCGGCACCAGGACCCCCAGAACUGGCCGCGUGACCUUGGGCCGCGCCUUGCUGGACUGUGCGUCUGUCUGUUCAUUAAGGCCCUGGAUUCCGCGUGUCUGGCGGAGGUGCUGAUAAAUCCCGCCCUGCAGAAAAGAUGACCCUGGAGGCGGCAUGCAGGAUCUUAGUUCCCCGACCAGGUAUCGAAGCCAGGGCCCCCCCACUCCCCGCAGUGAAUGGAUGCAUGGAGUCCUAACCACUGGACCACCAGGGAAUUCCCUGAAACGCGCUUUGCUUUAUCAACAGCAGGUGAGAAUAACCUAGGCAGUCGUGUGUUGGAACAUGCCUGGCUCUUUGCCCUAUUUGUUAAAAUACUUGCUCUGCGUAGCUAUGUUAUGCUGGACCUAAGCCUCCACAGUUGACCCUUGAGCAACAUGGGGGUUGGGGGCGCCAACUCCCUGCAUACUCGAAAAUCCAAGUAUAACCUUUGACUCCCCAAAAACUUAACUACUAAUAGCCUACUGUUGACCGGAAGCCUUACCCAUAACAUACAGUCGAUUAACACAUGUUGUAUUUAUAUGUAUUAUACACUGUAUUCUUACAAUAAAGUAAGCUAGAGAAAAGAAAAUGUCUUUGAAGAAAAUCAUAAGGAAGAGAAAAUACAUUUACGAUACUGUACUGUAAUGAUCGAUACUCCAAGUUUACAUUGUCUGUUUGAAACAGAGCAGGACACAAUGGUCCUUCCCCUCUGUCCUCCACCUGCCUUUUGUCUGUGGUAAAACUUUAGCUAAAGAAUAAGUUAAGUCAGAGAAGUGGGAAAAUGCAGAAACAAAAGAAAAUUGUCCAAGACUAAAUAAUAAAAGUUUAGGCACUAAGCAAAGUCAAGGACCUUUUGUUCCUCCUCAAGGGCUAUAGAUAGUAUUCUGAGCCGUGUCCUGUGAGCUGUCUUAUAGAUACUGAAACCCCCACCAGGUGGAAGAAGUUACAUGAUGACCAGACUGUAGCCAUGACAGAAGCUGCCACAAUCCUGAGAAUUGGCCUCAAGGAAGUGGGAACAAACCAACCAUGGAACUGAAGAUUAACUGUACUUAAAACUAUCAAGAUGAUGCUGGUCAGACCACCAAUGACCAAUUUCAAGAUGAUUGUCAGAGCUGACUGUGCUGCUUCUACACGUAGUCCCCUCCCUCUGCCUAUAAAAACUCUUGCCCCCUGAUUGUCAGGUGGGGGGAGUUGGCCUUUGGACAGGUGUCCGCCUCCCCCCCCCACCCCAUUCUCAGCAUCCAAAAUAAAGCAAACUUUCCUUUCCACCAA